Molecule: ribosomal RNA, 282 nt
Filed under: Phocaeicola plebeius DSM 17135
Lineage: Bacteria; Pseudomonadati; Bacteroidota; Bacteroidia; Bacteroidales; Bacteroidaceae
Description: partial 16S ribosomal RNA
Rfam family: Bacterial small subunit ribosomal RNA
Source: RNAcentral
CAGAGAGUGUGUGCCAGCAGCCGCGGUAAUACGGAGGAUGCGAGCGUUAUCCGGAUUUAUUGGGUUUAAAGGGAGCGCAGACGGGUCGUUAAGUCAGCUGUGAAAGUUUGGGGCUCAACCUUAAAAUUGCAGUUGAUACUGGCGUCCUUGAGUGCGGUUGAGGUGUGCGGAAUUCGUGGUGUAGCGGUGAAAUGCUUAGAUAUCACGAAGAACUCCGAUUGCGAAGGCAGCACACUAAGCCGUAACUGACGUUCAUGCUCGAAAGUGUGGGUAUCAAACAGG